CUCUGAUGAUUCUUGAUGACGAGUCUGAUUCGGCCUUGCCGAUGCAGACACAAACAUUAUCUAACCAUUCAUGCCAAACUGAUC
This 84-nucleotide small nucleolar RNA is filed under the name Sphaerulina musiva SO2202. Lineage: Eukaryota; Fungi; Ascomycota; Dothideomycetes; Mycosphaerellales; Mycosphaerellaceae. The record is from RNAcentral.